CGCACCUUGCACUCUUGGGUUAUUCCCGAGAGUAUGCUUGUUUGAGUAACAGAAAAGCUCAACCCCGCUUCUUAAUUUACUUUGGGAAGUUGUAUGAAAGGGUUAGGAUCAUGGCAGCUAUUUUAUUCGAAAUUCUGCUGAAAGACAAGCAGCUUGACUUCAGAUUUUGCUUGCAUGACUAUUGUUAUAAAUCUAAAUGUCGCGAUAGUCGAGCUUAAUCUAAAAAGCUAUGAGAAAAAUUCUAAUUUAAGCUUGUUCUCAAAUCAAGUAGGACUACCCGCUGAACUUAA
This 290-nucleotide unclassified non-coding RNA is filed under the name Agaricostilbales sp. Its description in RNAcentral is "partial contains 5.8S ribosomal RNA, internal transcribed spacer 2, and large subunit ribosomal RNA". Lineage: Eukaryota; Fungi; Basidiomycota; Agaricostilbomycetes; Agaricostilbales. The record is from RNAcentral.